RNAcentral lists this ribosomal RNA (497 nucleotides) under uncultured bacterium. RNAcentral's name for it is "partial 16S ribosomal RNA". It matches the Rfam family "Bacterial small subunit ribosomal RNA", at positions 28 to 507 of the family's 1533-position model. The record is from RNAcentral.
GAUGAACGCUGGCGGCGUGCCUAAUACAUGCAAGUCGAGCGAACAGACGAGGAGCUUGCUCCUCUGACGUUUGCGGCGGACGGGUGAGUAACACGUGGAUAACCUACCUAUAAGACUGGGAUAACUUCGGGACACCGGUGCUAAUACCGGAUAAUAUAUUGAACCGCAUGGUUUAAUAGUGAAAGACGGUUUUGCUGUCACUUAUAGAUGGAUCCGCGCCGCAUUAGCUAGUUGGUAAGGUAACGGCUUACCAAGGCAUCGAUGCGUAGCCGACCUGAGAGGGUGAUCGGCCACACGGGAGCUGAGACACGGUCCAGACUCCUACGGGAGGCAGCAGAAAGGAAUCUUCCGCAAUGGGCGAAAGCCUGACGGAACAACGCCGCGUGAGUGAUGAAGGUCUUCGGAUCGUAAAACUCUGUUAUUAGGGAAGAACAAAUGUGUAAGUAACUAUGCACGUCUUGACGGUACCUAAUCAGAAAGCCACGGCUAACUACGUG